This 597-nucleotide ribosomal RNA is filed under the name uncultured bacterium. RNAcentral describes it as "bacterial SSU rRNA". It matches the Rfam family "Bacterial small subunit ribosomal RNA", at positions 816 to 1412 of the family's 1533-position model. The record is from RNAcentral.
CUAGGUGUAGGCGGUAUUCCACGCCGUCUGUGCCGCAGCUAACGCAUUAAGCACCCCGCCUGGGGAGUACGGCCGCAAGGCUAAAACUCAAAGGAAUUGACGGGGGCCCGCACAAGCAGCGGAGCAUGUGGCUUAAUUCGACGCAACGCGAAGAACCUUACCAAGGCUUGACAUGCAGGGAAAUCCUCCAGAGAUGGGGGGUCCGUAAGGGUCCUGCACAGGUGGUGCAUGGUUGUCGUCAGCUCGUGUCGUGAGAUGUUGGGUUAAGUCCCGCAACGAGCGCAACCCUCGUUCUAUGUUGCCUGCGCGUGAUGGCGGGGACUCAUAGGAGACUGCCGGGGUCAACUCGGAGGAAGGUGGGGACGACGUCAAAUCAUCAUGCCCCUUAUGUCUUGGGCUGCACACAUGCUACAAUGGCCGAUACAAAGGGCUGCUAAGCCGCGAGGUGGAGCGAAUCCCAAAAAGUCGGUCUCAGUUCGGAUUGGGGUCUGCAACUCGACCCCAUGAAGUCGGAGUUGCUAGUAAUCGCAGAUCAGCAACGCUGCGGUGAAUACGUUCCCGGGCCUUGUACACACCGCCCGUCACGUCACGAAAGUC